GACUCGAAGAGGUUUCUUACGCGGCAGCGCUGUGACUGCGUCCGGCCCGGGCCAUGGCGGCGGCUCCCGUUGAGGUGAGUCCUACCGCUCCGCGCACACGGCUGGCGGCUUCCGGGGGUCUUGCAGCUCCGGUGACCGCGGUGCGGAGGAGGGUUGGGAUGAGCACCGAGCGAGACGGCGGCGCGUCCUCAGCUGCCCGUGAGCCCCUCACCGCCGUCCUCCCGCCUUGCCUCAGGACUGCACUUCCCAGCAUGCCAAGCGGCGGCGCGUACUUCCGCCUCGCGGUGUACUCUGGGAAGCUCAUAGCGGCCUAUCUCCGUGCGCGCAGGCGGGAGGGGCGGGGUCUGGCCUGGCGGCGCGGGGCACGACGGGAGGGCGGCCGCUCCAUUCUGAUGCUGCAACCAGAAGAGCUGGAUGUGGCUGUGGCUGUGCUGAAGGCCCACAGCAGCGACUCAGACAGCGGGCAGGGCAGUGCUGAGCCCCCCUCACCGGGCCGACCACCCACCGGCUCCACGUCCCCACAGGAUGGAGAUUCAGAAGAAGAGAUUUUUGUAAGUAGAAAAGCAAAAGGCAAGAAGGUGCUUCAGGACAGUGAAAGUGAAGAUGGAGAGGACGGUGACUCUUCUGUGCACAAUGACACUCUGGGUGGAGACACAGAAAAUGGAGAGGAAAAAGAGAAGGUCACUGCCCAGAGAAACAAGAAAUCUCGGAUUCGACAGGGUCUGCUGGACAGCGAUGACAGUGACACUGGUGACCAUUUGCAAAUUGAAAAUCUUGACACAAGCAGGAAGUCUGUCUUGUCUGAGAAUGAGGUGGAAGAGGGGAGACCACUGAAAUCUGGGAAAAAAUCCAGAAAGCAUAAACACAGUUUUGAAGAUGAGGCAGCUGAAAAAGCUGUAGGAAAACCUAGAAGAAGAAAGGAGAGGGAGAGAAGAGCUGAGUCCAUCAAACAGCUGAUAAAAGGAAAGAAGCCAAGCUCAGAGGGCCAGCAGGUGGAUGGUGGUGAGGGGUAUCCUUUUAAUGACAGUGGGUGUCUUCUUGAUGACAAAGAACUUUUCGAUAAUGGCUUAGAAGAGGAAAACAAUUCCUUCCCAGGGGAUGAAGAGUCGAUAGAGUCAAUACGAGCUGCAGUGAAAGAGAAAAUAAAGAAAUACAAGAACAAAGAACGGUUUUCUGAGGAUGAAGGCUACAAACACGUAUUUGAUGAUGAUAAUGAGGAAUCUGCAUUAAAAGAACCAAAAAGGAAGGAGCGGAAAGCAGCAAGGUUGAGUAAGGAAGCCAUUAAACAGCUCCAUAGUGAGACCCAGCGGCUCAUUAGAGAGUCAUCUGUGUCUCUCCCAUACCAUAUGCCCGAGGCCAAAAGUGUUCAUGAAUUCUUCAAGCGUAGAUCUCGACCAGUGUAUGAAGGAAAUGCCAUGGCAUUGCUGAAGUCCACUAAAUACGAGUUCACCCUGAAUGAAGAAGCUGCAGGCACGAAGACCUCGAGCACAGAUUGCAAAGAUGGGCCAACAGAAGGUGGUCAGUCAGCAGCUAAUGAACCAGAAGCAAACCUUGGCGGGCACACUGAUCCUGCUGCCAAGGAUCCUCUCCUUGGUGAAGGGGAGAACUUGACAGAAGACAGUGCUGAAAAGUCCAGAAAGAACAAUGAUGAUUCUCAUAGUGCUGUGACUGUAACAACUGCCAGUGAAACAGAAGAACAGCAAUCAGUCCUAAACACCGAUUGCAGUGAACAGAAAGAGAGUGAAAUUCCUCUACCAGUUGGAGGCAAUGCCCUUGAGCAAAGAGAUGAAACAGCACCAGGCCUGGAAAACAGCCAACAGGUGGGGCCUGGAUUGGCAGCACAGCCUGAAAAAGUGAGGAAGUCCAAAUUGGAUAAACUCCGUGAGCUGGGGAUCGAUUUGACCAUUAAGCCACGAAUCUGCUCUGGCAAUGAAUCUUUUAUAAACCUCGAUGAAUCUGAUUCGAAUAAAGAAUUAGAAGCCUUGAAGGCACGUUUCUUGAAGCAUACCCUUCAAACUUCAAAACCCAAGUUAGAACGGACCAUAAACAUGAGCAUUAUUCGUAAGGAGACCACAUCUGAAGGGAAGGAGGAACUAAAAGCAGACGUGGUGCCAGCAGUUUUAGCUGCAGAGAGCCUGGAUGAAGCAGUCCACACAAAGCCAGGUGAAAAGCUGCAAGUGCUGAAGGCAAAACUCCAGGAGGCCAUGAAACUCCGCAGGACUGAGGAGCGCCAGAAACGACAGGCAUUGUUCAAACUGGAUAAUGAGGAGCUGCUGGAGGAGGAAGAGGAGGAGGAGGAGGAGGAAGAGAUGACAGAUGAGUCUGAGGAAGAGGAGGAAGGCGAUCAUGAGGCUGUGGAAUCUCUGCUUGAUGAGGCGGAGGAAGACAAUGAAGAUCUGGAAGAGAAACAAGUUGAAGACGGUGAUAAAGAAACUGACAGAGAGUCAAUUGAUGGAGAAAAGGUGGAGCAAGCUGUGGACUGUGCUUCUGUUCCCAAACCACCUUCAACAGAGUCUACAUUGAUGCUCUUUAAGGACAGCUCCUCCAAAAUGGGGUACUCUCUUCCUGAUGAGAAACAUGAAAGUGAAGAAGCUGCAGACAAAGAAGCUACCAAGUUAGAAGAUGAUGAUUCAUUUUCUCUACCAACACCAGCAAAAGAGAAUAGCCACAACAGCAGCUUUGAGCUGAUUGGCUCCAUGAUUCCAUCCUAUCAGCCCUGUAACAAACAGAUGUCGCGUGGAGGGAACUUUUUACCUGCAGCAGGAGGCUUCAGGUCACCUUCCCCAGGUUUUUUCAAAACAAGCUUUAUCAGUUCUGCUUCCAAGAGCUCGGGAAAGAUGUCUGAGCCUUCUCUUCCCAUAGAAGAUUCCCAGGACCUGUAUAAUGCCUCUCCUGAACCAAAGAGUUUAUUUCCAGGGGCUGGAGAAUCCCAGUUUCAAUUUUCUCUGGAAGAUGACACCCAGAGCCAGCUGCUUGAUGCAGAUGGGUUUCUGAAUGUUGGACAACAUAGAAAUAAAUACCAAUCCUCAAAGCAUGGACUGACUCUAGCCAGUAUGGAUGAGAAUGCAAUGGAUGCAAACAUGGAUGAAUUAUUGGACUUGUGUUCUGGACAGUUUAGCAGUCAAGCUGAGCAUGUGCCAAGUACCAGCAGCAACAAGAAACAAAACAUGGAAGAACUGCUCAAUCUUUGCUCUGGAAAAUUUGUGACUCAGACAGAUUCUCCAACAUGGGCAUCAUCAGUAUCUUCCAAGGCAGAGAAGGACAGCGACAUAGAAGACCCAAUGGCAGAAGCACUAGCACUUUGUUCAGGCUCCUUCCCCACGGACAGGGAGGAGGAGGAUGAGGAGCACGAGGAGCAUGAGGAGCUUGGUGAUUUUCAGCUUGUAACAGAUGACAAUGCCUUUGAUAGUGAAGAGGAUGAAAAGAGUGGGGAUAGUGAUGGUGAAGAAGCAGAAGUAAGUGAUGAAGAAGAGCUGCUGAGACGUAGAGAGGGCUCGAAGAAAAAGCUAAAACUGGAGGAUUUCAUGGAAGAUGAGGCAGAGCUGUCAGGGAGUGACGUGGGCAGUGAGGAUGAGUACGAUGGAGAAGACCUGAAUGAAUAUGAAGAAGAGAUUAUCGACGAGGAGCUCCCUAAUGAAGCAGAAUUAGAAAGUCAAGUACAGAAAUUACACAUGAAGGCAGUGCUUGAUGACGACAAGCGUCAGUUACGCUUGUACCAAGAGAGGUACCUCAUUGAUGGUGACCUACACAGCGAUGGCCCUGGCAGAAUGAGGAGAUUCAGAUGGAAAAACAUAGAUGAUGCUUCACAGAUGGACUUGUUUCAGAGGGAUUCUGAUAAUGAAGAUGAAAAUGAAUCAUUUGAUGAAACAGAAGUAAAAUGGAGGAAAGAGAGAUUUGAACGAGAACAGUGGCUUCGUGAGCAGAAGGAAAAAAAUAAAGAGCAGGAGGAGGAGGAGGAGGAAGAUAUCGGUGAAGACAGUCAGUUCAUGAAACUAGCUAAAAAAGUAACUGAGAAGUCCCUGCAGAAGAGAGCAAGCCCUGCAGUAGUGGUUCAAGAUGCAAAACUAUUGCCCAGGAAUCCAUUUGAAACAUUCAGACCUGCCAGUGACAUCCAGAUUAAAAAUGGGUCUCUCUUGAAUAGACCCAAAGAUAUCCUUCAGAAACUGGCGGCCAUGUCAGAUCUCAAUCCAAAUGCACCUCGGAACUCCAGGAAUUUUGUCUUUCACACACUUUCCCCAGACAAGAAUGAAGAGGCAAAGGAGAAAUCAAAACAUCAGGUGAAGAAAAGAGGUCCUUCUGCAGCAAUAACAUCUCUUGCCAAACGGCCCAGGGUUGACAGCACAGAGCAAACGAGUCAAAGUCGAAGCAUAUUCCAGUACUUGGAGAGCUGAAUGUUUUUGUGUAGGGCCAGAAGUUACAUCUUGUAUCUCUGUCAGUUGCAGGCUGAUCUGCAAAUCUCUGCCAGCAAUCAUCAGGAAGACAGGUUAUUUGGGAAGCCAGAUGGACCCAGGCUAAAAUCAUCUGUAUUUCCAACGCGUGAAAAAUGAUGUCAGAGUGGACACCUGAAGAGAGGCGCGCUGUGUGUGGUGGGUGCUCAGCACACAAACUGAACCUCAGCUGCCCCGGAUCCCCCAUCAGCUGUCCCAGAGCCAAUGUGAGUGUUAAAGGGCAGAAAGAGCCCCAGGCACCCACUGACAUGCGGGUGGGGAUGGCUCUGGCGCAGCCCCACGGUGGCUAUUUCCCCUUGCUGCCUUUCAGCCCUCGUUAGUGGCUGCACCCAUUCUCCAGGAGGGAUGAAUGGAGCACAGCUUUGGGCCCGCAGAAGUGCCUUUUGCUUGUGUUUGUUUUCAGAACGGGCAGGUGAUCUGCUCAGCAUCCCUCUCCUUUCCUUCAGGCUUCCCCCCUUAGAAAAGGACACACGGAAAGCAGAUCAGCAGACAUAGGAAGAGGGCAGUGAUGGCUCGAGUCUGACGUGGGGUCGUGGUUUAAGACACUGGAGAAUGCGGUGUGCUGGGGUGGCUGAAGGGCAGCAGGAGGUGGGGGUGUGGGGCUGCCUGGGAAAUAGCCCCGAGCCUUGGGGGACGGGGCUGCCUUCAGUGGGAGAGCUGCAAAGCAAAGCUGUUCUCUGCAAGCUCUUGGUCAUCAGUACUCAUGCUGACACGGUGUGUGCUCAGCGUGGACAGCUGUUCAGUCCUGGCGGGUUGUUAUGUGCUCUCGUAUCAUCCAGCAGCACAGUUUAUGGCCAACUCCAGCACUGCUCCUCCACGCAGCAGAAACCUGAACCGGCUGUAAUGAAAGAAAACGAUGUUGGGGAUCGAUCGCAAGAGAUUCGCUUCAUUUUUAAGCUCGUGUUUCUGCCCUGCUCCUCAAGGCUGCUUUCAUACAACCCUCCUCCGCUGCUCCCCCUGCGGUGUCCCAUUGAUCACCAAUAGCUGCUGCUGCUCCUGCAGGCGCUGAUGGAGGAGCAGCCCCAGAUGCCCCCGGAGGGCGAUGUCCUCCUGCCCCAAAUCCGCAGUGCCCGAGGAGGGGCUGGGAGCCCUCUGGGCUAUUCCAGGUGGUAAUUAAUGAGGGGGGGCCCCCAAGGGAGGUUCCCUGGUGCCCGCAGCCCUGCUGUGCCCCCAAUUUCCAGCCCCCCCGGUCAGCUGUGACAGGUUUCUGUGCAGAAAGUGUAAUGAACGGCUGAGGCGCUCAAGAUAUUAAUAGGUGGUAUUUCCACGUUCCUAUUUUACAUUAAGCCCGAAGGAGGGCUCUGAACACCCCCCGACCCUUCGCAAUUAAAUAUCAGCUUAGAAAAGCACUUUUCCCUUCCUUCCUUCGCUCCCACUGCCCGGCCCAACGCUGUGGGGUGCUGCCCAGCUGCAGGAUGCUCGGGGGCUGGGGGGGCACAUUGGAUGCUCGGGGUCCCACACCCCCAUUCCCUGGGCAGGCACAGAGCAGGCGCUGCUUUGGCACUCCCCCACACCCCCCCUCCCCUUCCCCGGGUCGCUAUGAAUAAAUCAUUGU
Molecule: RNA transcript, 6003 nt
Organism: Gallus gallus (chicken)
Lineage: Eukaryota; Metazoa; Chordata; Aves; Galliformes; Phasianidae
Gene: CLSPN
Gene name: claspin
Exons: 26
Source: RefSeq, marked provisional